Molecule: non-coding RNA, 1515 nt
Organism: Paramuricea clavata
Lineage: Eukaryota; Metazoa; Cnidaria; Anthozoa; Malacalcyonacea; Plexauridae
Source: the annotation of a GenBank genome assembly
CGAGAGAAGAGAAAGACAAACCAAGGCGAUAUCCUUACUAAAAAUUCAGGAAGCUCUGGUCAGGGUCAAGGAAGAAGCAAGCCGCCAUAUAAUGAACUUGCCAGCAAAUAUUAUUCGCUGUCGAGAAAGUGCGCAAAGUGAUAAAACAUCGCAUAUCAGUUGUGGGAUAAAACGUGUAAUGCGGUAUGUUCAUACUGUAUAAUAUAUUCUGUAUAAAUGCCGUACUAACAAAAAGCAAACGAUGAAACGAUUAUAUAUUUUGUUUUGCUUUGUUGAACUUUGGGCUAUAUAUAGACGCGCGAGUACACUAGUUGACGAUAUUAACUUAAUAACAGAUACAGUAUUCGCUCAAAUUGAAUCAUGUGCUUAAAGCACAAACUUUCAUGCUUUGUUGAUUUGCUAUAAACCAGUCAUGCAUUCUAUUAUUUACCACUGAAAGAUUUAAUUGUAUUUAAGGUUUUCCAUCUGCCAAACGGGAUGUGUGUUGUCUAAUAAAGUAUUCCACUCAUACAGCUAGCGCUCAUUAAAUAUUAAUCCAGAGGCGUACAUUAUGAGUAGACAAAAGCAUUGGCAGCCGGAAAGUAUAGUUGUUUCGAUAACCCUAAUGAGUAUUGAGUAACACAAAAUGUUUUGGAGUUGAGUUUAUCGAGCUACAAUAUUUGUGAGUUUUUACAUAGCCAUAUUUCUGUUAACCUGGUAAUAUGCUAUGUGUACAAAUUACGCUCUCUCUUGAAAGCAAAAUUGCCUUCAAUUAGACAGAAUAAAAUAAAAAAGACUAAAAGAGCAUUAGGAACAUUGUAUUUUUUAAUGUGUUAACCAUAAUUAACAUCUAGCAAGCCCAUGUAUUAUUUUGUGGCUUCCCAAGGUGUGUUGCUUCGAGCCCGACCACGUGCUAAUGUCUCUGAAAGACAUACCCAGCUAACACUUGAACAUUGUUAUUUGCAGGUUGAUAUUAGCAAAUGUGAUAAUACAUGUAACUAAGUAUUCUUACGUGUUCAACCAUGCGAAUUGGCGGACCUCCAAAUAGAAUCCCCAAAUGUAGAAGGCACAUAUGGAGAAUAUCAUUUGACAGUGCUCUACCGUAUCCCCUAGCAAGGAACCACAAUUUCAAGAAACCACAUUCAUAUCAUUGUGUGCCUCAUCUACACGGGAUCCAAACAGAGAUUAAAACAUAUUCCAUUGUAAUGGAGUCUAAUUGUUGGACAUGGAAUACAAUAAAUGACAGAGUACAGGUUAUUAUUUGACGCUGCAUUUCAUGAGCAGAAAUUAAUGAUGAUAUACAUAGGAGAUGCUCUGCAUCACAUUCACAAGACUGAAGGAAUACUUGCGUUGCAAUUUAAUGUCAAAUACUGUUUCGGUUUGUAGCCAAAAAGGUUAUUUAGUAAAGUUUGGGAAAGUAAUUUGUCAAGUCAUGUACUGUAGGAAUACACAAAUGAAGAAAUAUAAUUAAGACAACUUAUACUCAUAUAGCACCAGAAGUUCCCAAUUGUAAACAAAUCAGUUACUAAACCAAAU